GGGCCCGUAGCUCAGUGGUUAGAGCGUACGCCUCCGGAGCGUAAGGUCAUGGGUUCAAAUCCCAUCGGGCCCG
RNAcentral lists this transfer RNA (73 nucleotides) under Thermoproteota archaeon. RNAcentral's name for it is "Crenarchaeota archaeon (sediment metagenome) tRNA-Arg". It matches the Rfam family "tRNA". Rfam says of the family: Transfer RNA (tRNA) molecules are approximately 80 nucleotides in length. Their secondary structure includes four short double-helical elements and three loops (D, anti-codon, and T loops). Lineage: Archaea; Thermoproteati; Thermoproteota. The record is from RNAcentral.